GGCGCCGCGCUUCCGGGCGGGCAUGGCGGGCGGCGGCGAGGAGCCCUUCGCGCCCUCGGCGCUGGGCACCAGGCCGCACUGGGAUGCGGCGUAUGAGAGAGAGCUGCAAGCUUUUCAGGAGACGGGAGACGCUGGGGAAAUUUGGUUUGGAGAAGAAAGCAUGGUUCGCAUAAUCAGAUGGUUGGAGAAACAAAAGGUGCCCCUUGACAGCUCUGUGCUUGACAUUGGAACUGGGAAUGGUGUUUUACUGAUUGAAUUGGCAAGAAAUGGCUUCACUAACCUCACUGGGAUUGAUUACUCACCUUCUGCAAUACAACUUUCAGAAAAAGUAAGGGAGAAAGAAGGGAUGUCUAACAUUAAAUUACUGGUAGAAGACUUCCUGGCUCCAUCAGCUGAGCUGUCGGGAUUUCAGAUCUGUAUUGACAAGGGGACUUUUGAUGCCGUGAGCCUUAACCCUGAUAAUGCAGUUGGAAAGAGGAAGCAGUAUGUGAGAUCUCUGUGCAGUGUAUUGAAGCCAGAGGGCUUUUUCCUCAUAACAUCUUGCAACUGGACCAAGGAGGAGCUGCUGAAUGAGUUCAGAGAAGCUCCUGAAUCUCAUGCCUGAAGCUUGAAACUCCAAGAGAGUGGAUCUAAAACAACCGUCCCUUCUGGGGAACUAAAAUUGCUGGAUUUGAAGUUGUGGAGGAGCUGCCAACACCCAAGUUUUGCUUUGGAGGAAGAAUUGGAAACAGUGUAACAGCAUUGGUUUUCCAAAGAAAAAAGUGAGACCAUCCAUCUUGGACAAAUUAGAUUAGCUGAGAAAAGUCUGAACUUUAAAGUAAGCCUGACAGCAAACCUCAGACACGUGUGUAAAUAAAUGUUAUUUGAGUACACAGUUAAA
Gallus gallus (chicken) is the source of this 880-nucleotide RNA transcript. It is a transcript of the gene named methyltransferase like 10, with no coding region annotated. The record is from RefSeq and is a predicted model, not a curated record. The transcript has 7 exons. Lineage: Eukaryota; Metazoa; Chordata; Aves; Galliformes; Phasianidae.